UACAAAUGCAAAGUUAAAAACUAGUUUUCAGAUUUUUCGGCCUUCAAGGACAAACACUAUCGAUUCGAAGCGAAAAUGAAGCAUUAAAAAUAAUUUUGAUACGAUUAUUAUUAUCUGGAUCAAGCAUUGCACGAAUCAAUUGUUUAAGAUCAUCGGAUAUAUUGCGUUCAUAACGUGUACGAAAUUUCCAAUCA
Dermatophagoides farinae (American house dust mite) is the source of this 194-nucleotide non-coding RNA. NCBI's taxonomy places the organism in Eukaryota, Metazoa, Arthropoda, Arachnida, Sarcoptiformes, Pyroglyphidae. The record is from RefSeq and is a predicted model, not a curated record.